UACGUAGGUGGCAAGCGUUAUCCGGAAUUAUUGGGCGUAAAGCGCGCGCAGGCGGUCCUUUAAGUCUGAUGUGAAAGCCCACGGCUCAACCGUGGAGGGUCAUUGGAAACUGGGGGACUUGAGUGCAGAAGAGGAGAGCGGAAUUCCACGUGUAGCGGUGAAAUGCGUAGAUAUCAGGAGGAACACCGGUGGUGUAGACGGCUUUCUGGACCGUAACUGACGCUGAGACACGAAAGCGUGGGUAGCAAACAGG
RNAcentral lists this ribosomal RNA (253 nucleotides) under uncultured bacterium. RNAcentral describes it as "partial 16S ribosomal RNA". It matches the Rfam family "Bacterial small subunit ribosomal RNA", at positions 524 to 776 of the family's 1533-position model. The record is from RNAcentral.